UCCCCUGCUUCACUGGGCACAUGCAAGGGGCAGCUUAGAAAAUGGAAGAGCAGAGCUGCCAGAGGAGAGCUUUCUGACGGGCAGGCACAUAACUCUAUUCUGGAAUUCAGGUGUUCAGUGAUGCUCUGGACCCUGGAGGCAGCACUACACCCUUGCUUAGGUUUGAGUAGGGCUGAAUUUCAGGUAUGUUGACCGUAACCCACCCAUGCCCGAGCGUGGCUAUACCUCUGAUUUGAAGUUCAACUGUGUGAUAAAUGGGAGGACUACUACCCUUUACCGAACAUCCCCACUAUUCUGUUAACUAAAUUGCCUGUAAGGAUUAAGCCCAGAGACAGUAGGUUCCUGAGAAUCUCCAAGAAAUGUCAGCAGAGAGCCAGGACAGUCAAUGGGAAGAGAGUGAGAACUCUGAAUUGAAGCAGUGAUCUGCCUGCAGCAGUCUUUAUGUGAGUUCAGAGGAGAGGUGGAUUAAGCCAGGAACGAGACAUAGCAUUUCUAGCAAUAUUCAUGCUUAAGAAGAACUAUACCUUGGAACAACAGAGAGUGCCCGUGGUAUGAAGUUGCAAGGCAUUGCUAAACAGCUGCUACAUUUCACCCCAGGGAUGGCUGCAUUUUCAGUGGUUGUGAGGGCCAUCAACUCCAUCCUGCUGUGCAGGGUCAUCCACCUGGGAGAUCUGGAUCUGAUUGUCACAGGAUUUGCCGCCCUGGGGUUCCCCAGACUGCUCAAUGAGUUGGUGCUCAAUCUGUGUACCAACUCAUUGAGCAGCUCAAUACAUAAACCACAAGGGCUACUUCUCCAUGGUGCUACAGGCUCUGGUCAACCACCGUGGACACUUCACAGACAUUUUCAUGGGGUGGUCGGGCAGGGUACAUGACACCCACAUUUUCAGAAACUCAAGUGGCUACAGGAAGCGGGAGGCUGGCACAUUCUUCUCCCAGCAUGAAUUUUGCAUUGGGGACAUGUACAUGUCACUGUGCAUUGUGGGAACGCAGUCUACCCCCUCAUGCU
Pelodiscus sinensis (Chinese soft-shelled turtle) is the source of this 1006-nucleotide non-coding RNA. Lineage: Eukaryota; Metazoa; Chordata; Testudines; Trionychidae. The record is from RefSeq and is a predicted model, not a curated record.